RNAcentral lists this long non-coding RNA (269 nucleotides) under Selaginella moellendorffii. RNAcentral's name for it is "long non-coding RNA (SMOE_LNC002353)". Lineage: Eukaryota; Viridiplantae; Streptophyta; Lycopodiopsida; Selaginellales; Selaginellaceae. The record is from RNAcentral.
AAAUGAAACUUUUGUCCAUAAAAUUAAAGUGUCACUACACCAGAUAUUCUGGCAAUGGCUGCAGAAACAACAUCAUAUCUAGGGGGAAGAGAAUAGAAGAAAUACAAUAUGGGGUUUCUUGAAUUCUCGUUUGCAGCUAAUCUAUAUGCAAUUGCAAGAUCUCAACACCUGCAGGGAAGAGAAAAAUUGAUAGGACAGAGAGAGACGUCAGUACUUUACGGAUCCCUGUGGUCGACUGGUUCCACAGCAACAUUGCUCUGCAAUGAAGA